UACGUAGGGUGCAAGCGUUAAUCGGAAUUACUGGGCGUAAAGCGUGCGCAGGCGGUUCUAUAAGACAGAUGUGAAAUCCCCGGGCUCAACCUGGGAACUGCAUUUGUGACUGUAGAGCUGGAGUACGGCAGAGGGGGAUGGAAUUCCGCGUGUAGCAGUGAAAUGCGUAGAUAUGCGGAGGAACACCGAUUGCGAAGGCAAUCCCCUGGGCCUGUACUGACGCUCAUGCACGAAAGCGUGGGGAGCAAACAGG
RNAcentral lists this ribosomal RNA (253 nucleotides) under uncultured bacterium. RNAcentral's name for it is "partial 16S ribosomal RNA". It matches the Rfam family "Bacterial small subunit ribosomal RNA", at positions 524 to 776 of the family's 1533-position model. The record is from RNAcentral.